This 195-nucleotide ribosomal RNA is filed under the name uncultured bacterium. Its description in RNAcentral is "partial 16S ribosomal RNA". It matches the Rfam family "Bacterial small subunit ribosomal RNA", at positions 332 to 526 of the family's 1533-position model. The record is from RNAcentral.
AUUACUCCUACGGGAGGCAGCAGUGGGGAAUUUUGCACAAUGGGCGCAAGCCUGAUGCAGCGACGCCGCGUGAGGGAUGGAGGCCUUCGGGUUGUGAACCUCUUUCGCUCAUGGUCAAGCCGCAGUUUUGUCUGUGGUGAGGGUAGUGGGUAAAGAAGCGCCGGCUAACUACGUGCCAGCAGCCGCGGUAAUAAU